GACGAACGCUGGCGGCGUGCCUAAUACAUGCAAGUUGAGCGAUGAAGCUUGGUGCUUGCACCAAUUUGAAGAGCAGCGAACGGGUGAGUAACGCGUGGGGAAUCUGCCUUUGAGCGGGGGACAACAUUUGGAAACGAAUGCUAAUACCGCAUAACAACUUUAAACAUAAGUUUUAAGUUUGAAAGAUGCAAUUGAAUCACUCAAAGAUGAUCCCGCGUUGUAUUAGCUAGUUGGUGAGGUAAAGGCUCACCAAGGCGAUGAUACAUAGCCGACCUGAGAGGGUGAUCGGCCACAUUGGGACUGAGACACGGCCCAAACUCCUACGGGAGGCAGCAGUAGGGAAUCUUCGGCAAUGGACGAAAGUCUGACCGAGAAACGCCGCGUGAGUGAAGAAGGGGUUCGGAUCGUAAAACUCUGUUGGUAGAGAAGAACGUUGGUGAGAGUGGAAAGCUCAUCAAGUGACGGUAACUACCCAGAAAGGGACGGCUAACUACGUG
This 497-nucleotide ribosomal RNA is filed under the name uncultured bacterium. RNAcentral's name for it is "partial 16S ribosomal RNA". It matches the Rfam family "Bacterial small subunit ribosomal RNA", at positions 28 to 507 of the family's 1533-position model. The record is from RNAcentral.